This is a non-coding RNA of Paramisgurnus dabryanus, 621 nucleotides long. The record is from RefSeq and is a predicted model, not a curated record. NCBI's taxonomy places the organism in Eukaryota, Metazoa, Chordata, Actinopteri, Cypriniformes, Cobitidae.
CAAGUUUUCAUUUCCGAUGGUUAUCGCUGCAUGGUCAGAGAUGCUGAAAGAGCAACUCCAGUAAAAGAGGAGCGUAGAGAGCAGGUGUUGGUUCCCAUUUCAAAUCUUGAACCUAAAUAACGGGUUUGAAAAUGAUGCUACUCUUGUUCUUACUCUCCAAUUUAGAGGUGAUGAAAUCCCCCGGCCUGUGGAUUAUUUGACCAAGAUGCCACCUGACCUUACAUCCUCUGGCAGAUCCUGAUGGGAGUCGUUACAAAGAGGACAAUAUGGCUUUAUGGUGACUUUCACUGACAUGCAAGGUUUUCAGAGACAUUUUCAGCAAGCCCAAGUUCAGAGAAAAGGUCCCCUUUGUAUGUCCAAACAGUAAUUUUUUUAAAUCUAAAUUGUGAGUACUUUAAAAGAUACUUGAGAAAGUCUGUCUGUCUGUCUGUCCAUCUAUUUCUGUUUGUUUGUUUGUGCAAUCUAUCUAUCUGUCUGUUCUUCCUAUCCAUCUGUCUGUCUAUCUAUCUCUACCUAUCUGUCAUGUCUAUCCGUCCAUCUGUCUGUUUGUCUGUGUCUGAUAGACUGUAUUGCCUUCAAAACUUUCAGCUUGAAAACUACUUUGCUGCAAACUGAAAUUCU